RNAcentral lists this long non-coding RNA (237 nucleotides) under Gossypium barbadense (sea-island cotton). Its description in RNAcentral is "long non-coding RNA (GBAR_LNC010744)". Lineage: Eukaryota; Viridiplantae; Streptophyta; Magnoliopsida; Malvales; Malvaceae. The record is from RNAcentral.
AUGCCUCUGAGAGUGGAAUUUCCAAGGUUGUUUCGUUUAGCCAUGAAUAAGAAAGGGCUGAUAAAAGACUUUUUGAUUUCAAAGUGGUUUAAUAAGGAUAAUUGGGCUGAUUUCUUUAUUCAACCGUUAUUGGAUAAGGAGUUGAAUAUGGUCGUCCGUUUAAAGGAAGCUAUUAGCAGUAAGGUGUUGAUACCUGAGAAGGAGGAUAGAUUAAUUUGGAUUCAUGAUAGCAAUGGG